RNAcentral lists this ribosomal RNA (226 nucleotides) under Kryptopterus sp. ATG-4. Its description in RNAcentral is "partial small subunit ribosomal RNA". The record is from RNAcentral. Lineage: Eukaryota; Metazoa; Chordata; Actinopteri; Siluriformes; Siluridae.
UGGGCCCACCCAAAAACGUCAGGUCGAGGUGUAGCGUACGAAGUGGGAAGAAAUGGGCUACAUUUUCUAAAAUAGAAUAUUUACGGACAGCACCCUGAAAACGUGCUAGAAGGUGGAUUUAGUAGUAAAAAGUAAAUAGAGAGUCCUUUUGAAUUAGGCUCUGAGACGCGCACACACCGCCCGUCACUCUCCCCUAACACUAUCAAUUUAUAUAAAUAAUAAUUCA